This 380-nucleotide ribosomal RNA is filed under the name uncultured eukaryote. RNAcentral's name for it is "partial 18S ribosomal RNA". It matches the Rfam family "Eukaryotic small subunit ribosomal RNA", at positions 592 to 976 of the family's 1831-position model. The record is from RNAcentral.
CAAUAGCGUAUAUUAAAGUUGUUGCAGUUAAAAAGCUCGUAGUUGGAUUUGUGGCGUACGGUGGGUUCCGGGCACUUGUUGUCUGAGUAACUUGCUGUUGCCAUCCUUGGGUGGAACCUGUGUGGCAUUAGGUUGUCGUGCAGGGGAUGCCCAUCAUUUACUGUGAAAAAAUUAGAGUGUUCAAAGCAGGCUUAUGCCGUUGAAUAUAUUAGCAUGGAAUAAUGAGAUAGGACUUUUUUGCUAUUUUGUUGGUUUGCGCAAAGAGGUAAUGAUUAAUAGGGACAGUUGGGGGUAUUCGUAUUCCAUUGUCAGAGGUGAAAUUCUUGGAUUUUUGGAAGACGAACUACCGCGAAAGCAUUUACCAAGGAUGUUUUCAUUAA